GACCUGGUUGAAUGGUCUGCCGAAAGGUAUGCACUGUUCCGGCUGGGUCUUUCCUUCUGGGGAACCAGCGUGCUCUUUAUUGAGUGCACUGGGGAUCCAGGACUUUUACUUUGAAAAAAUUAGAGUGUUUAAAGCAGGCCUAUGCUUGAAUACAUUAGCAUGGAAUAAUAGAAUAGGACUUUGGUUCUAUUUUGUUGGUUUCUAGGACCGAAGUA
Molecule: ribosomal RNA, 215 nt
Filed under: uncultured fungus
Lineage: Eukaryota; Fungi
Description: partial small subunit ribosomal RNA
Rfam family: Eukaryotic small subunit ribosomal RNA (bases 90-215)
Source: RNAcentral